GGUGGCGUGUUGACCAAUUGGUUAGUUCUCUGGCCUUUGGUACCACAGGCUUCAGGUUCGAACCCUGACGGUACCG
Non-coding RNA from Caerostris darwini, 76 nucleotides. The record is from the annotation of a GenBank genome assembly. NCBI's taxonomy places the organism in Eukaryota, Metazoa, Arthropoda, Arachnida, Araneae, Araneidae.